Molecule: non-coding RNA, 5005 nt
Organism: Sus scrofa (pig)
Lineage: Eukaryota; Metazoa; Chordata; Mammalia; Artiodactyla; Suidae
Source: RefSeq, a predicted model, not a curated record
GCGCUGGCCUGGAAACCGUGGAGCUGAGAGGUGUGCUGGAGGGUUAAGCAGUGAGAGACUUCGGCGGCCAUGGCUCCCAACGUGACCGCCUCCGAACCGGCCCAAGAGGGUCCUAAAGGCAUCCGGGCCGUGCUGCUGGGGCCGCCCGGGGCCGGCAAAGGUACUCAGGCACCCAGAUUGGCUGAAAACUUCUGCGUCUGCCAUUUGGCCACUGGGGAUAUGUUGAGGGCCAUGGUGGCUUCUGGCUCAGAGCUGGGAAAAAAGCUGAAGGCAACUAUGGAUGCUGGGAAACUGGUGAGUGAUGAGAUGGUCGUGGAGCUCAUUGAGAAGAAUUUGGAGACCCCUCCAUGCAAAAAUGGUUUUCUCCUUGAUGGCUUCCCUCGGACCGUGAGGCAGGCGGAAAUGCUUGAUGACCUCAUGGAGAAGAGGAAAGAGAAGCUCGAUUCUGUGAUUGAAUUCAGCAUCCCAGACGCUCUGCUGAUCCGGAGAAUCACAGGAAGACUGAUUCACCCCAAGAGUGGCCGUUCCUACCAUGAGGAGUUCAACCCCCCGAAGGAGCCCAUGAAAGAUGACGUAUGUAAACUAAGGACAGGAAACUUCUUGCCUUCACCUUUCUUCCUUUGCUUUUUUCUUUUCUUUUUUUUCUUUUUUCCCUCCUUGGUCAUCUCAUCUUCUCUUUAUUCCUACCAAUAUAACUUAACCAUGAGAAAUAUCACUGUCAUGUCAAUCACAUGGGCAGUGGCUCAUCUGUCCAGUGUUUCUCCAAGUGGUUUAUUGUCUGACCUUGAACCAGUGCUAGCUACUGCCCAAUGCCCAGUUUGUGCCUGUCUUUUAUUCAGAGCAGCCCCUUUCUGUCAUCAUGGCAACCUAAAUGGUCAACAAGUCAGGAGAAAGUGGAAGCCCCAAAUUAGAGCUGGGGUGGGGAGAAUAGUACUGAGGAGAGGUUUGUUCACCAGUCCUGUUUCAGAAAAAUACCCUCUCCCUCUAGCGAUGCUGCUGUGCCAUCCAGAUUCGGAAGCACUUGGCUGGAUUAACAUUACCAAGUUCCUGUGACAAUCUUCAAUUGCUUGCAGAUGUGAAAGGGAGGGUCUCAUACAUAUUCACGGUAACAUUUGCCGUAAAGAGUCCGGUUGUCUGUUUUAGAGCAAAUAAGAAUUUCCUGCAUUUACCUUUGUCAUAUGAGACAAGUUCAUCAGGUCACAUAGGUUCCAAAGCCAUCUGUCAACUUAGUCACGUUUCACAGAAUCGGUAUUCUACCACUCAGCGUUCUUUCUCACUUUACUGCUGCUUCCAGAAUGUCGAUGGCUGACACCAUCACAAAAACACUGGAUACUUAGGCAGCUGAGAUCCUACGUGCUAAGGCAGCUCUGCUUUUGACGUAUUCUCCUAGACUCAGGGGCCUCCAUCUUUCUCGUUUCCCACCCUAGAAGUAUUUGUCUUGGAAGCCGAAUAGCCUGAUCACAAGCUGUGAGAGAAGGACAUUGCCCGUGCCCCGCUCUCAGCCCUUUCCUCUCAGUUGUUGUUUCAGGCUCCCUGAGUUCCCUGGACCAGGUGGUCUCCUGGGACCAACUUGCUACAAGCACAGAAGUCCUUUAUUGGAGAGGGUUUAGAUUUUCUGUCUCUCCCUCUGAUGGUCUUCAUGAUCAGCCAGCAUCUCAAAUCUGCAUGUGGCAUCAGAUAAGGAGACCUUGCUAAGAGUCCCGGCCUUUCAUCACCCUCUUCCUGUUCUCAGAUCACCGGGGAACCCUUGAUCCGCCGAUCAGAUGAUAAUGAGAAGGCCUUGAAAAUCCGCCUGGAGGCCUACCACACUCAGACUACCCCGCUGGUGGAAUACUACAGCAAACGGGGCAUCCACUCUGCCAUCGACGCAUCCCAGACCCCUGAUGUCGUGUUUGCAAGCAUCCUAGCAGCCUUCUCCAAAGCCACAUCCUAGUAACAGAAGGCCAGGCGAGACUGCACCACUGCUCAUCACCCCGCGGCGUGAUUCCUGCUCUUAGGUGCUGGGCAGAAGGGAGGGGUGCGCAGGGUAAGGGUGGAGAGGGAGGAGUGCUGAGGGCUCAAGAGGAGGAUGGGAAGAGCCCCAGGUGGUAGUGAAGCGAUUUCUUUUACAUAGAGUAGGAAUCUUAAAAAUUAGAAACAAAGGGAAAAAUUAAUUUUUUAAAACAUGGAUUGGAAGGUGUAAGUAGAAACAGGGAGUUGCAGUAUUAUUUCUAAGGAAUCAUGUUUUCAUGUACUCUGGACUGGUGACAAUGUUUUUUUAAAGCCAGUGUCCUAAGACCUCACUUUUAUCAGACCUCAUGCCAGCCCAGGAAUGCAGGCCAUCACACUGCUGUCCUGUCUGUCCUGUAGCUUGGAACAGGGCAGGAGCCGACUGCUCACCCUGGUUCCCCACACUGUGAGACCAAGAAAUCAUCUCCGCAUUUGAAAAAGAUACGGGUGUUUUCCUGGGGCCGGUGGCUCAGCAAAUCAGGUUUACUGGGGUCAUGGGGCAGGAGGGGCAGGCUAGUCUCACUCCCUUCCUGACUCACCUGCCCACCUGCUCUGGCGGGUAAUCUCUCUGCCACCACCCAGCAUGUGCCACGAUCCUACACUCUUGCCUUCCUCCAUCCAUGAUGUGUGAAGGGACUCCUUUUAAUAAAUGAACAAGUGUCCUAAGCAACAUUAUCCAAAGAUCGUCCUUUCCAUCCUCAAAUCCUGUGACUGGGAUCACUCGACAGCACUGUGAUGUAUUAUUUUCAAUGAGGUGCCUUUCUUACCGGUCCAAAUGCUGCCUUGUUUGGCCCCUAAAUUAAUAAAGCGUGUUAAAAGUUUGUAUCCCCUGUUGUGGCAUUUUUAAAGGGGAUCCUGGCUAGUAAAAGGACGCUGAAUUCUGGGUCUGACUUGGAAGCCCUCUUUUGUGGUCACUAGAAGCCGUGGGAUAGAAGGUCCAAGCAUGUGUUGUUAAGAAGAGCCUGUACCCUCUUGACCUUGAACUCAUGCAGCAUUUUCUUGAGCCUAAGGACAAGGCAGCUUGGGUCCAGUGAAGAUAGCACUGUGCCUGGAGUUCAGGGGACGUACAGCGAAUCCCAGCCAACCAUUUACGCUGCCCCUGUUUCCUCAUCUGAAAGAGAGACCGCUGACGCCACCUUCUCAGACUUGUUGGCAAUAAAUAAAGUUUAGAAAAAGCAGCUUUUUCUUGGUGCCUGGCACACAACAGACACUGGAUAAAUGCUAUGGGGAUCUGAAUAUACACAGAAUAAUAGCUGCUUCUGCCAGGCUGGAUGAUUGUUGAGCAGACAGCUGUCCACAGCCUAGAAAGCCAGGGCUUCUAAUGCCUGAGCCAGGGUUUGGUUUUUCUUUUGUUUUGUUUUGUUUUUUUAAUGUGUUUUGUUGUAUAGUUCUAAGCCAGAUUUUUGGCUGCCUUUUCAGCUGCCUCUUUAAUACUCUUGGUUGCUUCUUUUUAAAUCCAUUUCUUUCCCUGCAAAAAUGAGCUUAAAUCAUUUGUCCUAACUGAAGCUCUCAUGCUCUUUGGAAGGGCGGCCUUUGCCAAUGAGGUUUCUGAGAAAUGGCUGCUGUUCCCGAAAACAGGGAGCUGGGCUGGAAGCACGGUCAUUCUUCAGGCCCUCUUGCUCCGGAGAGAGGCAGAGUUGUCACUGGCACAUGAAAUCCUGCCCCUCUUCUGCUUUACCACUUCCCCUCCCUCUGCAGAGUCAUUUGCAGGUAUCAUUUUUCAGUGCCUUACUUGCACGGAUCUUUUCAUCCUCUGAGCUGUUUAAAUGCUCCAUGAAAAUUUUCUUCCCUUCCUUGAUCACCAUGAAGCAACCUGAGAGAAAUCUCUGUCAGACCAGCCUGAGAGGACGCAUGGCAUGGUCUGGUUGGAAAGGAUAAACUGAAAGAAGACCCAAUGAGCUAGGAAUGCUCACUCACUUCUUUGGGCCUGGUCUCCUCGUCUGGAAACCAAGGUUAGAUGAGCUAAGAGUCACCACCUUUCCAGGAGGACUGAUAGGCCAGGUAUUGUGUUGUGUUGUGGGCGCAGCUCUGCCCCCACCACCUCAAUUGACCCCCCACAAAACACCCUAGGCAGUUGGAGCUGUCAUUCUUUUUUUUUUUUUUGCUUUUUAGGGCCACGCCCACAGUAUAUGGAAGUUCCCGGGCUAGGAGUCGAAUUGGAGCUACAGCAGCUACACACCUACACCACAGCCACAGCAGCACCAGAUUCUUAACCUACUGAGCAGGGCCAGGGAUCAAACCCAUGUCCUCAUGGAUACUAGUCGGAUUCGUUUCCACUGAGCCACAACAGGAACUCCUGGAGCUGUCGUUCUAUCACAGGCGAGGAAACCAAGCCUCAGAGUAUGGUGGUCACAUUCCUAAAGGCACCAUAAGAAGUAGAGCCGGGACUCAAAUGGUUACUGAGACCAGUCUGUCCCCUGGACCUUGUUGCUCAAGUGACAAGUGACUUAGCAGUGCAGCAGCAGAAAGGGCCCUUCCAGAUGGGUUCUUUCUGGUGGGCACCCACACUGCCAGAAGUGAUUUGGGAGAAGUCACCGCCAGUCUGAAGACCCGGGGCAUGUGUCCUAGGAUGCCGUAUGCACGAAGUAUUGCAGACAGGACAACGGUGAAGAGCAGCCUCCGUCCUCAGCAAGCCUCACCAGCCUUUUCUCGGAAGACAGCUAAAUGAGCCAGAAAGCGGGUUGCAGCAGCAACUCCACCCUGAGACCUCCGGCAAGUUACUGCACCUCAUCAGUUAAAUGGGAACAAUCCCCACCCCUCAGGUGUACUGAUGACACUGGUGACAUGCAGGCUUGAGCCAGGGUCCCUGGCCCACAGCAGGUGCUCAACACAUGCUGAUGCAGUUCAGAGAAAACAUGGGCUGUGGCAAGAGCUGUCGUCUCCGGACUCGGGAACCAGCCUAGGCUAAAGAUUCUUAACUUGAAGAUCUCCUAGAAGUCUGUGGCCCUCUGAAAUUGUAUGCAGAAUUCUUUAUUUUUGUAUUUUCAAAAUUAAUAAUAGAUAAACAUUUAAUGCU